AGUGAACGCUGGCGGUAGGCCUAACACAUGCAAGUCGAACGGCAGCACAGUAAGAGCUUGCUCUUACGGGUGGCGAGUGGCGGACGGGUGAGGAAUACAUCGGAAUCUACUUUUUCGUGGGGGAUAACGUAGGGAAACUUACGCUAAUACCGCAUACGACCUACGGGUGAAAGCAGGGGAUCUUCGGACCUUGCGCGAUUGAAUGAGCCGAUGUCGGAUUAGCUAGUUGGCGGGGUAAAGGCCCACCAAGGCGACGAUCCGUAGCUGGUCUGAGAGGAUGAUCAGCCACACGGGAGCGGAGACACGCACCAGACUCCGACGGGAGGCAGCAGUGGGAAAUAUUGGACAAGGGGCGGAAGCCUAAUCCGGCCAAACCGCGUGAGUGAAGAAGGCCUUCGGGUUGUAAGGCCUUUUUGUUGGAAAAGAAAAGCAGCAGUUUAAUACCCCGCUUUUCGAACGGAACCCAAGAAAUAAGCACCGGCAAACUUCUG
RNAcentral lists this ribosomal RNA (491 nucleotides) under uncultured bacterium. RNAcentral's name for it is "partial 16S ribosomal RNA". It matches the Rfam family "Bacterial small subunit ribosomal RNA", at positions 29 to 506 of the family's 1533-position model. The record is from RNAcentral.